Molecule: ribosomal RNA, 421 nt
Filed under: uncultured bacterium
Lineage: Bacteria
Description: bacterial SSU rRNA
Rfam family: Bacterial small subunit ribosomal RNA
Source: RNAcentral
UGGGGGAUAUUGCACAAUGGGGGAAACCCUGAUGCAGCGACGCCGCGUGAGUGAAGAAGUAUUUCGGUACGUAAAGCUCUAUCAGCAGGGAAGAAAAACUAUCCUUUGGAUACUUGACGGUACCUGACUAAGAAGCCCCGGCUAACUACGUGCCAGCAGCCGCGGUAAUACGUAGGGGGCAAGCGUUAUCCGGAUUUACUGGGUGUAAAGGGAGCGUAGACGGCUGUGCAAGUCUGAAGUGAAAUGCCGGGGCUCAACCCCGGAACUGCUUUGGAAACUGUACAGCUGGAGUGCAGGAGGGGUGAGCGGAAUUCCUAGUGUAGCGGUGAAAUGCGUAGAUAUUAGGAGGAACACCGGUGGCGAAGGCGGCUCACUGGACUGUAACUGACGUUGAGGCUCGAAAGCGUGGGGAGCAAACAGG